GACGAACGCUGGCGGCGUGCUUAACACAUGCAAGUCGAACGGAAAGGCCCCUUUGGGGGUACUCGAGUGGCGAACGGGUGAGUAACACGUGAGUAACCUGCCCUUGACUUCGGGAUAACUUCAGGAAACUGGGGCUAAUACCGGAUAGGAAUCCUUGCUGCAUGGUGGGGGUUGGAAAGCUUCGGCGGUUUUGGAUGGACUCGCGGCUUAUCAGCUUGUUGGUGGGGUAGUGGCUUACCAAGGCUUUGACGGGUAGCCGGCCUGAGAGGGCGACCGGCCACAUUGGGACUGAGGUACGGCCCAGACUCCUACGGGGGGCAGCAGUUGGGAAUAUUGCACAAUGGGCGGAAGCCUGAUGCAGCAACGCCGCGUGCGGGAUGACGGCCUUCGGGUUGUAAACCGCUUUCAGCAGGGGCGAAGCUUGUGGUGACGGUACCUGCAGAAGAAGCACCGGCUAACUACGUG
RNAcentral lists this ribosomal RNA (465 nucleotides) under uncultured bacterium. RNAcentral describes it as "partial 16S ribosomal RNA". It matches the Rfam family "Bacterial small subunit ribosomal RNA", at positions 28 to 507 of the family's 1533-position model. The record is from RNAcentral.